This 449-nucleotide ribosomal RNA is filed under the name uncultured bacterium. Its description in RNAcentral is "bacterial SSU rRNA". It matches the Rfam family "Bacterial small subunit ribosomal RNA", at positions 329 to 795 of the family's 1533-position model. The record is from RNAcentral.
UGCCAGACUCCUACGGGAGGCAGCAGUGGGGGAUAUUGCACAAUGGGGGGAACCCUGAUGCAGCGACGCCGCGUGAGUGAAGAAGUAAUUCGUUAUGUAAAGCUCUAUCAGCAGGGAAGAAAAUGACGGUACCUGAGUAAGAAGCCCCGGCUAACUACGUGCCAGCAGCCGCGGUAAUACGUAGGGGGCAAGCGUUAUCCGGAUUUACUGGGUGUAAAGGGAGCGUAGACGGCAGUGCAAGUCUGGAGUGAAAGGCGGGGGCUCAACCCCCGGACUGCUCUGGAAACUGUACGGCUGGAGUGCAGGAGAGGUAAGUGGAAUUCCUAGUGUAGCGGUGAAAUGCGUAGAUAUUAGGAGGAACACCAGUGGCGAAGGCGGCUUACUGGACUGUAACUGACGUUGAGGCUCGAAAGCGUGGGGAGCAAACAGGAUUAGAUACCCUUGUAAUA